This 520-nucleotide ribosomal RNA is filed under the name uncultured bacterium. RNAcentral's name for it is "bacterial SSU rRNA". It matches the Rfam family "Bacterial small subunit ribosomal RNA", at positions 777 to 1297 of the family's 1533-position model. The record is from RNAcentral.
AAUAGAGACCCAGGUAGUCCACGCCGUAAACGAUGAGUGCUAAGUGUUAGAGGGUUUCCGCCCUUUAGUGCUGAAGUUAACGCAUUAAGCACUCCGCCUGGGGAGUACGGCCGCAAGGCUGAAACUCAAAGGAAUUGACGGGGGCCCGCACAAGCGGUGGAGCAUGUGGUUUAAUUCGAAGCAACGCGAAGAACCUUACCAGGUCUUGACAUCCUCUGACAACCCUAGAGAUAGGGCUUCUCCUUCGGGAGCAGAGUGACAGGUGGUGCAUGGUUGUCGUCAGCUCGUGUCGUGAGAUGUUGGGUUAAGUCCCGCAACGAGCGCAACCCUUGAUCUUAGUUGCCAUCAUUAAGUUGGGCACUCUAAGGCGACUGCCGGUGACAAACCGGAGGAAGGUGGGGAUGACGUCAAAUCAUCAUGCCCCUUAUGACCUGGGCUACACACGUGCUACAAUGGACGGUACAAAGAGCUGCAAGACCGCGAGGUGGAGCUAAUCUCAUAAAACCGUUCUCAGUUCGGA